CACGGCGGAGGGCUUCCGCGGGGAGAGGGAAGGCGGAGGUGGUCUGGGGCCAGGGGUGGGGAGGAAUGAUCUAAGCCCCCCCUCCCCCUCCCCUCCUCCCUCCCGCGCCCUGCCGCUUAUCGACGGAUAAAACCGGCGGCGGAAAUUUGCAGGAAGAGUUAGGGUUUGUGUGUGGCGGGGUGGGGAAUUCCCGAGGGGUGUCGACUGCUCGAUGGAAACCCCCGCGCGGGCUGCCCUUGCGGCGCUUCUUCAGCUACACAGCCAAGAUACCUGAUUGACUUGUGCAAGAUCAGACUGGAUUGGUUCAAGAUGUGGCCAAAAAGCAGUCCAAAGGGCACCAGGACUUUUCUGGGAAGAGUUGCAAAGGCUCUCUUUCCACUGGUGUCACCAAACUGGUCUGGAGGCUAAAAGCUCAAGAUCAAGAUGUCGGCAAGGCCAUACUUCCUCUGAAGGAGCCAAGGAAGGAUCUGUUCCAGGCCUUUCUCACAGCUUCUGGUAGUUCCUUAGCUUUGGGCAGGUCCACCAGGCUUGCUCCUGUCCUAGGACCACUGCGUUCACUGGUUCCUCCGCCUGGAAUCCCCUUGCUCAGAUCUCCACAUGGGUAACUGUGAUCAACCAUCUUAAUGCCAAGGUCACCUUCUCAGGAGGACUUUCUGGCCCACGAUAUCUAAGACAUUUCUCAAGCACCUUCUGUGUGCUGAUGGAGUCUGAGACAGACAAGAUCUCUGCCUUCACGGAACUUAAAUUGCACACUCUGGUAUCUGAGCUUCGUUCUUCCCUCUGGCUGGAGCACAUUUACCCCAGAGAGCUGUGUGGGCCACUCCAACUCCUCCAGGUCUUUGCUCACAGGUCACCUUCCUGUUCAGUUUAACUGGACAUCCUGUGUUUUAUCUGGCACCCCUAACCAGAUGGCUGCUCUACAACUACAUGCAUCCUAUAGAUAAUGGUUGUAAGCCUCAGGGUGGUCAGGAGGAGAAAGCAGACAAAAUAGUGCAUGCUGGUGCUUGGAACACUGUAAGCGCUUUACGAGGCAUCUGAAGACAAGAGGGCGAGCCUCGCUGGAGCAUCAUCCUUCGAGCUGAGUACUGGGCUGGCAGUGGAAACUGACUUAGGAUGGGAAUUACUUCAACAUUUCAGUCAGGAUGGUGGUUUGCAUGGGGACCAAGUCAACAUUUAAGUCAG
Molecule: long non-coding RNA, 1182 nt
Organism: Aethalodelphis obliquidens (Pacific white-sided dolphin)
Lineage: Eukaryota; Metazoa; Chordata; Mammalia; Artiodactyla; Delphinidae
Exons: 12
Source: RefSeq, a predicted model, not a curated record